UUUAUACUCAACUCCAUGUUACUGGGGGGGCUUCUGCUAGAUUCCACCAACAGGACGAACAAGAGGGAAACAAAGGCAAGAGGAAGAAGGGACUUGCUCCAUUCUAAUCAGCCUUAUUGCACCCCUCAGAGAUCACAGCAGCAGUCAGUGCUCUCCUCAGAGAUCUGAAUUCUACUUUCAUGCGGCCCCUCCCCUGAGCUCCUGAGAUAGCCAAUGUUUGAGCCACCUCCUCAGAAGUUUGAGCCUCAACACCGUGGGAUCCCUUCUUUGUGCUCCAGAGAUCCAGUAACAGCCAGCCAUCACCCUCUCUUCAUUCUUCAUAGGCCUGAACUAAGGUGUUCAGGGCCCUCCUUCAAGCUUUUAGGUUCUGAUGACUCCAACCACUUCUUUUGUUCCAUCCUUUCCUAGCUCUAGGAAUGGUAGCUGCUACCUGCAGUGAUUACCUGUUACCUUUUAUAAUUCCUUUUGACCAAUUUCCCAUAUUAAAAUAUUUCUCAAUAACUAAUGUGAUUUCUGUUUUCCUGACUGGAC
RNAcentral lists this long non-coding RNA (531 nucleotides) under Homo sapiens (human). RNAcentral's name for it is "non-protein coding lnc-USP16-1:2". The record is from RNAcentral. Lineage: Eukaryota; Metazoa; Chordata; Mammalia; Primates; Hominidae.